ACGCUCCCUUCAUUAGCACAUAUGCUAAAAUUGGAACGAUAGAGAAGAUUAGCAUGGCCCCUGCGCAGCAAUUAUGACAUGUAAAUCCUCAAAGCAUUCCAUGUAAAC
Molecule: small nuclear RNA, 108 nt
Filed under: Dasypus novemcinctus (nine-banded armadillo)
Lineage: Eukaryota; Metazoa; Chordata; Mammalia; Cingulata; Dasypodidae
Source: RNAcentral